This 292-nucleotide ribosomal RNA is filed under the name uncultured Planctomycetota bacterium. Its description in RNAcentral is "uncultured planctomycete partial 16S ribosomal RNA". The record is from RNAcentral. Lineage: Bacteria; Pseudomonadati; Planctomycetota.
GGACUACACGGGUAUCUAAUCCCGUUUGCUCCCCUAGCUUUCGCGCCUCAGCGUCAGUAAAGAUCCAGUGCGCCGCUUUCGCCGCCGGCGUUCCUUCUGAUAUCAACGCAUUUCACCGCUCCACCAGAAGUUCCGCGCACCCCUACCUUCCUCUAGCCCGCCGGUAUCGAAGGCACUUCCACGGUUAAGCCGUGGGAUUUCACCCCCGACCUUGCAGGCCGCCUACGCGCCCUUUAAGCCCAGUGAUUCCGAACAACGUUCGCACGGUUCGUCUUACCGCGGCUGCUGGCAC